UUGACCUCAAAUCAGGUAGGACUACCCGCUGAACUUAAGCAUAUCAAUAAGCGGAGGAAAAGAAACUAACAAGGAUUCCCCUAGUAACUGCGAGUGAAGCGGGAAAAGCUCAAAUUUAAAAUCUGGCGGUUUUGCCGUCCGAGUUGUAAUUUAGAGAAGUGUUACCCGCGCUGGACCGUGUACAAGUCUCUUGGAAUAGAGCGUCAUAGAGGGUGAGAAUCCCGUCUUUGACACGGACUACCAGGGCAUUGUGGUACGCUCUCAAAGAGUCGAGUUGUUUGGGAAUGCAGCUCAAAAUGGGUGGUAAAUUCCAUCUAAAGCUAAAUAUUGGGGAGAGACCGAUAGCGAACAAGUACCGUGAGGGAAAGAUGAAAAGAACUUUGGAAAGAGAGUUAAACAGUACGUGAAAUUGCUGAAAGGGAAACGCUUGAAGUCAGUCGCGUUGUUCAGGAUUCAGCCUUGCUUUUGCUUGGUGUACUUCCUGUUCGACGGGUCAGCAUCAGUUUUGACCGGUGGAAAAAGGCUUAGGGAAUGUGGCAUCUUCGGGUGUGUUAUAGCC
RNAcentral lists this ribosomal RNA (559 nucleotides) under Mycena sp. ubc f16578. RNAcentral's name for it is "eukaryotic LSU rRNA". It matches the Rfam family "Eukaryotic large subunit ribosomal RNA", at positions 1 to 561 of the family's 3401-position model. The record is from RNAcentral. Lineage: Eukaryota; Fungi; Basidiomycota; Agaricomycetes; Agaricales; Mycenaceae.